This 149-nucleotide non-coding RNA is filed under the name Gorilla gorilla gorilla (western lowland gorilla). Lineage: Eukaryota; Metazoa; Chordata; Mammalia; Primates; Hominidae. The record is from Rfam by way of RNAcentral.
GCCAGGCGUGCUGGCGCAUGCCUGUAAUCCCAGCUACUUGGGAGGCAGGGGCAGAAGAAUCGCUUGAACCCAGGAGGUGGAGGUUGCAGUGAGCCGAUAUUGUGCCACUGCACUCCAGCCUGGGUGACAAAAGCGAGACUCUGUCUCAA